This 2899-nucleotide ribosomal RNA is filed under the name Shigella flexneri 2850-71. Its description in RNAcentral is "bacterial LSU rRNA". It matches the Rfam family "Bacterial large subunit ribosomal RNA". Lineage: Bacteria; Pseudomonadati; Pseudomonadota; Gammaproteobacteria; Enterobacterales; Enterobacteriaceae. The record is from RNAcentral.
UAAGCGACUAAGCGUACACGGUGGAUGCCCUGGCAGUCAGAGGCGAUGAAGGACGUGCUAAUCUGCGAUAAGCGUCGGUAAGGUGAUAUGAACCGUUAUAACCGGCGAUUUCCGAAUGGGGAAACCCAGUGUGAUUCGUCACACUAUCAUUAACUGAAUCCAUAGGUUAAUGAGGCGAACCGGGGGAACUGAAACAUCUAAGUACCCCGAGGAAAAGAAAUCAACCGAGAUUCCCCCAGUAGCGGCGAGCGAACGGGAGCAGCCCAGAGCCUGAAUCAGUGUGUGUGUUAGUGGAAGCGUCUGGAAAGGCGUGCGAUACAGGGUGACAGCCCCGUACACAAAAAUGCACAUACUGUGAGCUCGAUGAGUAGGGCGGGACACGUGGUAUCCUGUCUGAAUAUGGGGGGACCAUCCUCCAAGGCUAAAUACUCCUGACUGACCGAUAGUGAACCAGUACCGUGAGGGAAAGGCGAAAAGAACCCCGGCGAGGGGAGUGAAAAAGAACCUGAAACCGUGUACGUACAAGCAGUGGGAGCACGCUUAGGCGUGUGACUGCGUACCUUUUGUAUAAUGGGUCAGCGACUUAUAUUCUGUAGCAAGGUUAACCGAAUAGGGGAGCCGAAGGGAAACCGAGUCUUAACUGGGCGUUAAGUUGCAGGGUAUAGACCCGAAACCCGGUGAUCUAGCCAUGGGCAGGUUGAAGGUUGGGUAACACUAACUGGAGGACCGAACCGACUAAUGUUGAAAAAUUAGCGGAUGACUUGUGGCUGGGGGUGAAAGGCCAAUCAAACCGGGAGAUAGCUGGUUCUCCCCGAAAGCUAUUUAGGUAGCGCCUCGUGAAUUCAUCUCCGGGGGUAGAGCACUGUUUCGGCAAGGGGGUCAUCCCGACUUACCAACCCGAUGCAAACUGCGAAUACCGGAGAAUGUUAUCACGGGAGACACACGGCGGGUGCUAACGUCCGUCGUGAAGAGGGAAACAACCCAGACCGCCAGCUAAGGUCCCAAAGUCAUGGUUAAGUGGGAAACGAUGUGGGAAGGCCCAGACAGCCAGGAUGUUGGCUUAGAAGCAGCCAUCAUUUAAAGAAAGCGUAAUAGCUCACUGGUCGAGUCGGCCUGCGCGGAAGAUGUAACGGGGCUAAACCAUGCACCGAAGCUGCGGCAGCGACGCUUAUGCGUUGUUGGGUAGGGGAGCGUUCUGUAAGCCUGUGAAGGUGUACUGUGAGGUAUGCUGGAGGUAUCAGAAGUGCGAAUGCUGACAUAAGUAACGAUAAAGCGGGUGAAAAGCCCGCUCGCCGGAAGACCAAGGGUUCCUGUCCAACGUUAAUCGGGGCAGGGUGAGUCGACCCCUAAGGCGAGGCCGAAAGGCGUAGUCGAUGGGAAACAGGUUAAUAUUCCUGUACUUGGUGUUACUGCGAAGGGGGGACGGAGAAGGCUAUGUUGACCGGGCGACGGUUGUCCCGGUUUAAGCGUGUAGGCUGGUUUUCCAGGCAAAUCCGGAAAAUCAAGGCCGAGGCGUGAUGACGAGGCACUACGGUGCUGAAGCAACAAAUGCCCUGCUUCCAGGAAAAGCCUCUAAGCAUCAGGUAACAUCAAAUCGUACCCCAAACCGACACAGGUGGUCAGGUAGAGAAUACCAAGGCGCUUGAGAGAACUCGGGUGAAGGAACUAGGCAAAAUGGUGCCGUAACUUCGGGAGAAGGCACGCUGAUACGUAGGUGAAGCGACUUGCUCGUGGAGCUGAAAUCAGUCGAAGAUACCAGCUGGCUGCAACUGUUUAUUAAAAACACAGCACUGUGCAAACACGAAAGUGGACGUAUACAGUGUGACGCCUGCCCGGUGCCGGAAGGUUAAUUGAUGGGGUUAGCGCAAGCGAAGCUCUUGAUCGAAGCCCCGGUAAACGGCGGCCGUAACUAUAACGGUCCUAAGGUAGCGAAAUUCCUUGUCGGGUAAGUUCCGACCUGCACGAAUGGCGUAAUGAUGGCCAGGCUGUCUCCACCCGAGACUCAGUGAAAUUGAACUCGCUGUGAAGAUGCAGUGUACCCGCGGCAAGACGGAAAGACCCCGUGAACCUUUACUAUAGCUUGACACUGAACAUUGAGCCUUGAUGUGUAGGAUAGGUGGGAGGCUUUGAAGUGUGGACGCCAGUCUGCAUGGAGCCGACCUUGAAAUACCACCCUUUAAUGUUUGAUGUUCUAACGUGGACCCGUGAUCCGGGUUGCGGACAGUGUCUGGUGGGUAGUUUGACUGGGGCGGUCUCCUCCUAAAGAGUAACGGAGGAGCACGAAGGUUGGCUAAUCCUGGUCGGACAUCAGGAGGUUAGUGCAAUGGCAUAAGCCAGCUUGACUGCGAGCGUGACGGCGCGAGCAGGUGCGAAAGCAGGUCAUAGUGAUCCGGUGGUUCUGAAUGGAAGGGCCAUCGCUCAACGGAUAAAAGGUACUCCGGGGAUAACAGGCUGAUACCGCCCAAGAGUUCAUAUCGACGGCGGUGUUUGGCACCUCGAUGUCGGCUCAUCACAUCCUGGGGCUGAAGUAGGUCCCAAGGGUAUGGCUGUUCGCCAUUUAAAGUGGUACGCGAGCUGGGUUUAGAACGUCGUGAGACAGUUCGGUCCCUAUCUGCCGUGGGCGCUGGAGAACUGAGGGGGGCUGCUCCUAGUACGAGAGGACCGGAGUGGACGCAUCACUGGUGUUCGGGUUGUCAUGCCAAUGGCACUGCCCGGUAGCUAAAUGCGGAAGAGAUAAGUGCUGAAAGCAUCUAAGCACGAAACUUGCCCCGAGAUGAGUUCUCCCUGACCCUUUAAGGGUCCUGAAGGAACGUUGAAGACGACGACGUUGAUAGGCCGGGUGUGUAAGCGCAGCGAUGCGUUGAGCUAACCGGUACUAAUGAACCGUGAGGCUUAACCU